Ruditapes philippinarum (Manila clam) is the source of this 1091-nucleotide long non-coding RNA. RefSeq lists it as uncharacterized. The transcript has 3 exons. NCBI's taxonomy places the organism in Eukaryota, Metazoa, Mollusca, Bivalvia, Venerida, Veneridae. The record is from RefSeq and is a predicted model, not a curated record.
GCCAACUACUUCCCGUUCUGAUGUAACACCACGUCCAAGGCGCGGCAUGACCACAGCUGAGGCACAGACAGCUAUGGAUGGGAUUUUAUAUUCUUGGGACCCAACAGGCUCUGGACUGGCCUUUCAAGGUGUUCCACAUGGACUUCAUUUUGUUGAUCCUACUCCAAUAGCAACACAUGUUGUAUCAGCAAAGACGCUCUUGAAACUAUGACAGCAUAUAGCCCUGCCAUGAUUGCCCUACAUGAUAUGUUGAAAGCACAGAUGGAGAUGACAAAAGAAUUCCUGUCCUCACAGAAACAAAUGUACGAGGACUUUACCAGAAAUAUUAAACCAACCUUCAAGUAUACAACUCUAGAAGAUACUAAAAAGUAUAUAAAGAAACACAGAAGAAAGAAACUAUCCUUCAAAGAAGCCCUGCAGUUAGUGGACCUUGAGAUGGCCAAAACUUAACACUGCACUGACCAGACAGUUUUUAAAAUGGAUUGUGUAUAGCUAACUGUGAUAAUGUUUUUAAUGUAAUCUUUUAGUGAUCAUCAAAACAAGUGACAUGUUAAAACUGUUUUUGUUACUGAAAUGUAGAAAAUAGUUGCAUUUCUUCCCAUUGUAAUGUAUAAAGUAUAGACAAAUUGGUUAAGUUAUCUGAUAUUAUGUAAUGUCGGAGUAGCAAUAAUUAAUUUUAACUUAGUAUUAGGGCAGCUUACAUGACAAAUUCUUGGUUGAGAAGAUAUACAUUAGCUGCAAGUUUUAAUUAUUAUAAAUAUGAUCAUUUUAGAAGGGAGAAUAAAAAAGUGAAUUGCAAAUAUUUAUACAUUCAAAGACACUGCUUCAUUUAAAUACCUUUAGUUAUUUAUGUACAUUUGUGUAUGUUCAUAUUACAGAUAUGUAGAUUAAUACAAACACUGUGAAUAUAUAAUUAUCUUUAAGUUUUACCUGUAAUUUCAGAAGAAAAAAAACUUAAAUGAAAAAUUUACACCUGUAGGUUUUAGUGAGCCAAUUUAUCAUAUAGCUUUAUUUAGGUUAUUGAUAUACUAAUUGUGCUCUGAAAAUAUUGUAAUAUUUAUUUAUUUGUCUAGAAUAAAAGUGAAAAAUUA